Thunnus maccoyii (southern bluefin tuna) is the source of this 369-nucleotide long non-coding RNA. RefSeq lists it as uncharacterized. The transcript is spliced from 2 exons. The record is from RefSeq and is a predicted model, not a curated record. NCBI's taxonomy places the organism in Eukaryota, Metazoa, Chordata, Actinopteri, Scombriformes, Scombridae.
GUGAAGAAUGGGGCAAUGAGCUCGAUGAAGUGGUUUGAUAACACCUCGAAGCAGUGGAACCACCAUGGGGAGCGAUGCAAGUAAGUAACCUUUGCCUCUUUCCAUGCUGAAGAGAAGACACUGUUUUCUAUGCUAGUGUUAAAAGUGUGGCAAACAUUUCCAGCUAAACAACUUGCCACCAAUUCCAAGAACUUUCCAUCUAGAUUAUCCGUCCCUCCUGGUUUAUCAGUGUUUAUAGUUGAUAAUUGUUGUUCCACUUGUUUUAUAUUUAAUUUAUUUGAUUCAAAUUUCAAAGAGGAAUUGUCUUUUAUAAGUUGUUUAAUUCUGCACUCAUGUGAUCCACUACAGAGUAAAAUAUGUUUUCAAAAG